This 465-nucleotide ribosomal RNA is filed under the name Salmonella enterica subsp. enterica serovar Heidelberg. RNAcentral's name for it is "partial 23S ribosomal RNA". It matches the Rfam family "Bacterial large subunit ribosomal RNA", at positions 55 to 559 of the family's 2925-position model. RNAcentral also lists the same sequence under 2 other names. Lineage: Bacteria; Pseudomonadati; Pseudomonadota; Gammaproteobacteria; Enterobacterales; Enterobacteriaceae. The record is from RNAcentral.
GGCGUGCUAAUCUGCGAUAAGCGCCGGUAAGGUGAUAUGAACCGUUAUAACCGGCGAUACCCGAAUGGGGAAACCCAGUGUGACUCGUCACACUAUCAUUAACUGAAUCCAUAGGUUAAUGAGGCGAACCGGGGGAACUGAAACAUCUAAGUACCCCGAGGAAAAGAAAUCAACCGAGAUUCCCCCAGUAGCGGCGAGCGAACGGGGAGGAGCCCAGAGCCUGAAUCAGCAUGUGUGUUAGUGGAAGCGUCUGGAAAGGCGCGCGAUACAGGGUGACAGCCCCGUACACAAAAGCGCAUGUGCUGUGAGCUCGAUGAGUAGGGCGGGACACGUGGUAUCCUGUCUGAAUAUGGGGGGACCAUCCUCCAAGGCUAAAUACUCCUGACUGACCGAUAGUGAACCAGUACCGUGAGGGAAAGGCGAAAAGAACCCCGGCGAGGGGAGUGAAAAAGAACCUGAAACCGU